UACAGAGGUCUCAAGCGUUGUUCGGAUUCAUUGGGCGUAAAGGGUGCGUAGGCGGCGCGGUAAGUCGGGUGUGAAAUCUCGGAGCUUAACUUGGGAACUGCCAUUGAUACUAUUGAUCUUGAAUACCGUGGAGGUCAGCGGAAUAUGUCAUGUAGCGGUGAAAUGCUUAGAUAUGACAUAGAACACCAAUUGCGAAGGCAGCUGGCUACACAAAUAUUGACACUGAGGCACGAAAGCGUGGGGAUCAAACAGG
Molecule: ribosomal RNA, 253 nt
Filed under: uncultured bacterium
Lineage: Bacteria
Description: partial 16S ribosomal RNA
Rfam family: Bacterial small subunit ribosomal RNA
Source: RNAcentral